CAUGCAAGCUGCUGAUGUUGCUGUCCCGGUGAUGAUGCUACAUCUGCUACUCCACACUGCAUGCUACCCCUGCUGCCUUUGCUGCACAUGCUGGCUGCUACUAUUACUGCUGUGGCUGCUGCCUCUCAUGUACGGAAGUACAUGGAGCUGUUGUCCAAGCAUAAAGCAAGCUACUCAAGAGUGCAAGCUGCUGUCCAAGUUGGGAGAUGCUGCUACCUUUCCUACUGCUGUACCUGCAAAAUUAAGGCUAUAUUAUGUAAAAACAAAUUCAACAAGGUACCUAAUGGAGCUUUAGAAGCAUCAUGAAGACUCUUGGAGGGAGAUUGAAGCAUUACACAGCAUUGUUGGAGCCCGAACCAAGCUUUAUUGACCUAUGCACCAUUAUCGCCAAGUCUAACUUCGAGCUUCUCUCUCUCUCUCUCAUCAAGCAAGUGUUAAGGAUGGCGUUAGGCCUGUAAGUGUCGCCCAAGGCCCCUUGUUUGGCUAUCCUAAGUUGUGGUUUGAAAUUUGUGGUGUUGAUGGAACAACUCACAUCUUUGCUUUCUGCCAGGUAUCAACAACAACCUUUUUUCUGCAUAUAUGGCCUGAAAUGACUAGUAUUGUGCUCUUGGGUUUUUUUUUAUGCAUGUAUCCUAUCUUAUGAUGCAUAUGUGUGAGACUGGAAUGAUGUUCUACAGCUUAAUAGUGGAUUUGGUUGGUUUUAUCCCAAGUUUCAUGUGUCUUUAGCGUGCUGGAUUUUUUUUUUCUGGUUCUGAGAAGACGAUAUUGGGCUAUUGUGUUGCCCCUUGCUUUGGAUCUCCCACUUUGAUUGUUUAGGAGUAUCCACUCAUAGUGUCUGAUCUCAUUGAACCUUCGGAAGCUACAUCGGUGGGCCGAGUAGU
Macadamia integrifolia is the source of this 881-nucleotide RNA transcript. RefSeq lists it as uncharacterized. Lineage: Eukaryota; Viridiplantae; Streptophyta; Magnoliopsida; Proteales; Proteaceae. The transcript has 2 exons. The record is from RefSeq and is a predicted model, not a curated record.